AGCAACAAUGGCCGAGUGGUUAAGGCGCCAGCUUGCUAAGCUGGUGGAUGUUUUCUGCACGAGUUCGAAUCUCGUUUGUUGC
RNAcentral lists this transfer RNA (82 nucleotides) under Cryptomonas paramaecium. RNAcentral describes it as "Cryptomonas paramecium tRNA-Ser". It matches the Rfam family "tRNA". Rfam says of the family: Transfer RNA (tRNA) molecules are approximately 80 nucleotides in length. Their secondary structure includes four short double-helical elements and three loops (D, anti-codon, and T loops). Lineage: Eukaryota; Cryptophyceae; Cryptomonadales; Cryptomonadaceae. The record is from RNAcentral.